This 70-nucleotide transfer RNA is filed under the name Phrynosoma platyrhinos (Desert horned lizard). RNAcentral describes it as "tRNA-OTHER". The record is from RNAcentral. Lineage: Eukaryota; Metazoa; Chordata; Lepidosauria; Squamata; Phrynosomatidae.
GGUCGUGGCAUAGUGGUUUGAGUGUUGGACUAUAACUCUGGAGACCAGGGUUUGAUUCCCACCUCAACCA